This 2051-nucleotide long non-coding RNA is filed under the name Nicotiana tabacum (common tobacco). RNAcentral describes it as "long non-coding RNA (NTAB_LNC014856)". Lineage: Eukaryota; Viridiplantae; Streptophyta; Magnoliopsida; Solanales; Solanaceae. The record is from RNAcentral.
CCCAUUUCCCCCGUAAUUCCUUUCUUCUUCCUCCCUCUUCUCUCUCUCUCUCUCUCUCUCUUCUCUCUCUUCUCUCCGCCGCCGCCAGAAAUUACCCACCGGUGGCGGACCACCUCCAAACACCUCUAAAUUCACACCAUGUAAUCUCCACAACCUCCUCUUCCCAUAUCUCCAAAUCAAUUCCUUCAAAACCCCCUCAAACUCUUUGAAUUUUAGAUCUAGGAAACUUUAGCCGCCACUUUUUGGUCCAAAUUCUUGAAGCUCCGGCCAACACUACCCUACAACACAUACAUGAAUGGAUAGAGCUCCGCGAGACCUAUCUUUUCCUACCCAUUUCACCCCCAAAAUUUCCGUCGCUGCCGGCCAUCCACCCUCACCGCCGACCCGCCACUACUGUCGCACUCCUCCUCUGUUUUAGCCUAAUUCCGACCCAAGAACACUCAUUUCCUUUUGGUAUGACACCAAGUUUAUUGAAAUUGUUGUCUACCGAAAUGAAAUAAGCGUUCCAUGGUCGUGCAACCACUUCUUCCGACGUCUUCUCAUGGCUUGAACAGCUUCAAGCACGCUCGUUAGGUAUAAUCAUCAUCUCUUUACUUAAUUUCUGAUUUUCUUUAGUAGUUAUAGGUUAGUUCUUGAUUUUAAUUUUAGUUCCUGAUUUUAAUUUUUCUGUUUUGGGUUUGUUGUUAACUAGAGUUUCAAGUUAGAUUUAUUUAAUUAGUUAUCUCUAUUUAGUUUAGUUGUUUGUUAGACUAUUAUUAAUUAAACAUAAUAUUUAGUGUAUCAGUUUAAUCGUUUGCUUAGUUGUUGAAUUUCAUCGUCUGAAUGUUAACGAUGCUCGUUCUGUUUUGAGCAUUAGUUUGUGAAUCCAGUUGUUUGUUCUAUGUUUAGUUUGCACAAAUCAAUUUAUUUUAAUCUAGUUAGUUUGAGUUUUAGUUCCAUUUAAAGGCUUGUUUCUGUUUUGUUAAUUGUUAGUCGUUUGAGUUUGAUUUGGUUCAAAAUCAAGUAGUUUGGUGCUGAUGGUUAAAAUCUGAAGUUUAGGUUAUUUUAUCAUAAAAUAGUGUACUAGUAGCCUACCUUUUACUAGUAGAGUGGCUGAAAUGACUUUAUUUUUCUCCUUGCUUCUGACACAACAGAUUUUCAGGCUGUCCUUUAACCUUUUGGACAAAUUUUGAACAAUGUUUAGCACAAAAAGUUAGUCUUUUGGACAGACUUUUGGUGAACCAAAAUCUUUCCAAAAAAAUCUGACUUUAUUUGCCUAUUUAAAUGGCAGCUCUUCUCUUAUAAAGGGGACUCUCUUACACAUAAAAUAUACAUCCUUACUCACUGAAAAAGGAAAAAAAAAACAAGACACAACUUAAGAACUGAACAUCUAAAAGUGAGCUGAAAUUUGAGAGUGGUUGAGUGAGUAUUGAGAAAGCAAAAACUGUCCAAAAAAAAGGGGUUCUUAAGUCAGUUUACUUAGUUCUUUCCUUGUUAAAAGUUACUGAAUUUUCUGCUUUAGUUCGUCGGUUUUUCUGGGCUGUUUUCUCGGGUCACUCAAGUUAUUGAUUUGCUAUUGUUUCCCCUGCUGUUCCUACUGCUUCUGUAGCUGAAUUUCUGCUACUGUUACUGCUGUAUUUCUGCUUUUCAGGUAACCUUUCAAACAUUUGUAAUGCAGGUUCUUUUCUUUAAUAGAAGAUGAUGAAAAGAUGGGCCUUUUAGUUUGUUCCGAGCAAUUUUAUUCAAAGGAGUUUCUAAAUAUUUGAGUGUUAAGAUCUGCAUGCUCGUGAUCAUUUUAUUGUUGCAGUCGAGUAGUUUGGUUUAUUUUGUAGUUGGCAGAUCUGAGUAUCCAUGUUCUUUGAUGUUAGUUUGAACUACUUAGAUCAUAGUGCACUUAAAGAAUGAGUGAGGCAAUAAUGUUUAGUAUUGAAAGAAGAGUAUUGGACUGUUGACAUUGGUGAACCUGUGUUGUGUCAAACUUCAUGUCAAAAGGUUUCUGUUGCAUUUGUACCUGAGAAGUUGAUUUUUCAAAACUGGUCACUUUUUUUUGCAUUUGCCACCUUAAUUUAAGG